UCCAAAUUCCGAUCUUCACCCCACCAAAAUUAAGGGCCCGUUCGGACUUUUUCAAUAAAAAGUCCUUUUCUCUUAAAAGGAACGAAGAACGGCCUCAAUUUCAGAAAAAAAUUCGCCAUCGGAGAAAUGCUUUUCUCCAGAUGAAAAAGUUAAAAUUUUCUCCUUUUCUUCAGCCAAAAGUGCUUUUGGCUGGUAAUUUCCAUUUUUCUCCCCCAAAAACCGUUCUUCCCUCUGGUUUUUUGCCUGAGAUAUCAAGUUUUUUGCCUUUGUUUCUUUUCCUUUUAGUUAUUUUCUGAUUUUUAGAGUUUAGCAAAAAUUUUACAGAAAUUUUACAUUCUUCGAUUGUUCACCCUCUCUCUAUUGAAUUUGCUUCUGGGUUCCGAACCCCAACGCAUGGAUUCUGUUAAAACUGCUUUGUUUAAUAGGCACAGUAAUUACAGAUGAGCCCCAAUUGAUUAGCAUCAUCGUUUACGACACCGACCAGGAUAGAAUGCAAAACACUGUCGCCAAGGUUGCCGUGGUGGGAAGCGGAAGUAUCCAUACUUACUAUCUACUAUAAUAUCCCACUUUCUCUUUCUCCACCCACUAAUAAACAAAAAUUAAAACCCCACUCCUCUGAUCUUUUUUUUUAGAUUUAUUAUUAUCAUUAUUUUGUUAACUUUAAAAACUUGAAAUUCACAGUUUCAGGGUCUGUUUGUGCCGCUACUUUGGCAAGGAAUGGAAUUUCAGUGACCCUUUUUGACUCUACCAGGGGUCCUGGUGGCCGCAUGUCUCAAAGAAGGAUCCUUUUUUGUUUCUCUCCACUUAUUUUUUUAUUAAAAAUUCAUUUUUUUGACAAAUUUUGACUGCCCUUUUUUAUAUUCUAUUAUUUGCUGGUGUUUUGGGAAGCAGAAAUAAAAUUUUAAAGUGCAUAGUUUAAUGAAUUUUUUGUUGUUUUUGGUAAUAUGUAACUUUGGGAAUUUAGAGAGAAGUGAAGAUGGGAGAGAGCUGUUAUUCGAUCAUGGUGCUCCUUAUUUCACAGUGACAAAUCCCGAUGUGUUGAGUGUUGUUACUGAGUGGGAAUCAAGAGGCCUUGUUGCUGAAUGGAAAUCGAAUUUUAGGUCUUUUGAUUGUUUCACCAACAAAAUUGUCAACAUUGAACACCAGGUUCUUGUAACUAUUAUUAUACUAUUUGUUCUUCACUUCUUUUUGCUCCACCUAAUGGUACUAUUAUUUGUUUAUUUGCAUGGUUUUAUCUUAAUUAUAUCUUAACUUGCUUAUGAGGAGAGGGCAACGAUGUUUUUGAAUUGCUUAUGUGCAUGAAUGAUGCUUUUUUCUUGAUUUCUUAGAAGCUUGGAACUACUAUUUUUUUUUUUGAAGUUAAUAGGAUACUGUUAAACGUUAAUGAUCCUUGCUAUAGUUGCUUCGUAAGUGCUUGCUUGCUAUAUUGUUCUUUUUUAUGUUCAUGCACUCUUCAGCUUGAUUCACUUGUAGGGUUCUUUCAUUUAACCCUUCAUCAGCUUAGGCUGUUUAUGAUUGUAUUAUGUUUUCAAUUAAAAGGUCAGCAUAUCUAUGUAAAGUGUUGCAUAGUUGGUCAACGUCCAGCUCCAAUAUUGAUUCUGAUGUUUAUAUUAUAUUAUAUAUAUAUAUAUAUAUAUUCUCACAGAUGCCCAUUUUUAGACAAAUAAAAACUGGUGAUAUGUUUUAAACUCUACUGUUUGGUAUUAUUGCUUUAGUUCUCUGUUUGAUACACUGGAAAUUCUAAAAUCUAGAGAAAGAUUAGCUGCUUUAGAAGUGGGACUACUUGCUACAGUUGGUGUUACUAUGGUGAAGGUUAAAUUCUCUAAUUAGGCUUGAAGGUUCUUCCUGAAGCACCUCCCUUCCUAAAGACGGAUCCAGUUCGGCCAGAAUUUUAUCGUGCUACUAUCAGAUGGGAGGCUAAUGAUGGAUCGGGGAGUGCAGGGUAAAUUUAGAGUUAUAGUUUCCUUGAUCAUAGGUCUCCUCACUUUUUCGAUUUGUUGUUCAGUUAGAUCCUUCUUGGACCUAAUUUAUCUGCAAGUGUCAUGGUUUUUGCUAUUUUAUUCUACUUUGUAAUGCUAUUAUAAUUGUGUUAAGAAGCAAUUUGUUUCUUUCGGAUUUUAGAUUUGUCGCUGAGAGCACUGGUCACCAAAUGAGUAGUCGGCUUCUGAGUAUGAAGUCAGCUAAUGCUUUGAAGUUAUGUUUGGUCAUAAUCCGUAAAGAAACUUUCUUGCUAAAUGAGGAAAAAGUAUGAAGCAGGGUAUUUUUAUUUCGCUGCAUAUGCAGUGGACUUGCCUUUCUAGGGGUGCCUGUUUGUAUACAUGUCAUAUGGGGGUUAAGGAUGCCAUAGUGAGGCGACACUACUAUGCUGGCGAGUAAGAUGAGAGCCACUGGCUGACAAUUUCUUAUUUCCUUUGGAUGCUCAACACAUAUGACAUGCUGCAAAAUUGUUUCUUGCCAAUGAUUUAUUUUAUGUUCUUAUGAGCAAAGUUCGACUCUGAUCUUUGAUGUAGUUUUAUGUCAUUAUCAUGAAAUUUAGGUAGAACCUAAGAACUAUUUCUUUGUUUAUGAGGCUACUUUGUUAGUGGCUUAUAGGCAAUGAUUUUUUCUAGAUGUGUAUUAUUCAACCAUCUAUUUAUACACUUUCUGUACUUUAUUUACAAAAAUAGCAGUAUGUUACUCCACGGUAGACACUUUAGUUCCA
Molecule: RNA transcript, 2701 nt
Organism: Gossypium raimondii (Peruvian cotton)
Lineage: Eukaryota; Viridiplantae; Streptophyta; Magnoliopsida; Malvales; Malvaceae
Exons: 2
Source: RefSeq, a predicted model, not a curated record